Molecule: ribosomal RNA, 377 nt
Filed under: uncultured bacterium
Lineage: Bacteria
Description: bacterial SSU rRNA
Rfam family: Bacterial small subunit ribosomal RNA
Source: RNAcentral
UAAUACGUAGGGGGCAAGCGUUGUCCGGAUUUAUUGGGCGUAAAGAGCGUGUAGGCGGCUAGAUAGGUCCGUUGUGAAAACUCGAGGCUCAACCUCGAGACGUCGAUGGAAACCAUCUGGCUAGAGUCCGGAAGAGGAGAGUGGAAUUCCUGGUGUAGCGGUGAAAUGCGCAGAUAUCAGGAAGAACACCCGUGGCGAAGGCGGCUCUCUGGUACGUGACUGACGCUGAGACGCGAAAGCGUGGGGAGCAAACAGGAUUAGAUACCCUGGUAGUCCACGCCGUAAACGAUGGGUGCUAGGUGUGGGGGGUGUCGACUCCCUCCGUGCCGAAGCUAACGCAUUAAGCACCCCGCCUGGGGAGUACGGCCGCAAGGCUA